This 111-nucleotide ribosomal RNA is filed under the name Phocaeicola vulgatus. RNAcentral's name for it is "partial 23S ribosomal RNA". It matches the Rfam family "Bacterial large subunit ribosomal RNA", at positions 2798 to 2925 of the family's 2925-position model. The record is from RNAcentral. Lineage: Bacteria; Pseudomonadati; Bacteroidota; Bacteroidia; Bacteroidales; Bacteroidaceae.
CACAAGAUUAGAUUUCUCAGGGUCGUUGUAGACUACGACGUUGAUAGGAUGCAGGUGUAAAGGUAGAGAUACCAAAGCCGAGCAUUACUAAUUGCCCGUCCACUUUCCUUA